RNAcentral lists this ribosomal RNA (396 nucleotides) under uncultured bacterium. Its description in RNAcentral is "partial 16S ribosomal RNA". It matches the Rfam family "Bacterial small subunit ribosomal RNA", at positions 523 to 917 of the family's 1533-position model. The record is from RNAcentral.
AUACGUAGGGGGCGAGCGUUGUCCGGAAUUACUGGGCGUAAAGGGUGCGUAGGUGGCACUUUAAGUUGGAUGUGAAAUCCCCGUGCUUAACAUGGGAGCUGCAUCCAAUACUGGAGAGCUAGAGUGCAGGAGAGGUAAGCGGAAUUCCUAGUGUAGCUGUGAAAUGCGUAGAUAUUAGGAGGAACACCAGUGGCGAAGGCGGCUUACUGGACUGUAACUGACACUGAGGCACGAAAGCGUGGGGAGCAAACAGGAUUAGAUACCCUGGUAGUCCACGCUGUAAACGAUGAAUACUAGGUGUAGGGGGUAUCAACUCCCUCUGUGCCGCAGCAAACGCAAUAAGUAUUCCGCCUGGGGAGUACGGCCGCAAGGUUGAAACUCAAAUGAAUUGACGGG